CUUGGUCAUUUAGAGGAAGUAAAAGUCGUAACAAGGUUUCCGUAGGUGAACCUGCGGAAGGAUCAUUACUGAGAACAUGCCCUUUGGGGUAUAUCUCCCACCCUUUGUUUACAAUACCUUUGUUGCUUUGGCGGGCCCGUCUUAUGACCACUGGCUAAUAUUAGCUGGUCCGUGCCUGCCAGAGGACCCCAAAACUCUUUUAUUAUGUUGUCUGAGUCUUAUAUAAUAGUUAAAACUUUCAACAACGGAUCUCUUGGUUCUGGCAUCGAUGAAGAACGCAGCGAAAUGCGAUAAGUAAUGUGAAUUGCAGAAUUCAGUGAAUCAUCGAAUCUUUGAACGCACAUUGCACCCUCUGGUAUUCCAGGGGGUAUGCCUGUUCGAGCGUCAUUACAACCCUCAAGCACUGCUUGGUAUUGGACGCUACCGUGUGGUGUGUCUCAAAAAUAUUGGCAGUGGCAUUCAGCUUCUAGUGUAGUACUUUUUCUCGCUUAGGAGUCUUUUGAGUGUCUUACUGCUAGAAUCCUCUAAUUCAUCACAAAGGUUGACCUCGGAUCAGGUAGGGAUACCCGCUGAACUUAAGCAUAUCAAUAAGCGGAGGA
Molecule: ribosomal RNA, 599 nt
Filed under: uncultured Leotiomyceta
Lineage: Eukaryota; Fungi; Ascomycota
Description: eukaryotic LSU rRNA
Rfam family: 5.8S ribosomal RNA (bases 234-387)
Source: RNAcentral